AAGACACUAGUAAAAUAGAAAUUAUAUUGCCCCGUCAAAGCAAAGUUGUGGGUUAAACCCCCGCGUGUCUUA
Molecule: transfer RNA, 72 nt
Filed under: Gerres filamentosus (whipfin silverbiddy)
Lineage: Eukaryota; Metazoa; Chordata; Actinopteri; Gerreiformes; Gerreidae
Description: tRNA-Asp
Rfam family: tRNA
About the family: Transfer RNA (tRNA) molecules are approximately 80 nucleotides in length. Their secondary structure includes four short double-helical elements and three loops (D, anti-codon, and T loops).
Source: RNAcentral